Molecule: ribosomal RNA, 486 nt
Filed under: uncultured bacterium
Lineage: Bacteria
Description: partial 16S ribosomal RNA
Rfam family: Bacterial small subunit ribosomal RNA
Source: RNAcentral
AUUGAACGCUGGCGGCAUGCCUUACACAUGCAAGUCGAACGGCAGCACGGGUGCUUGCACCUGGUGGCGAGUGGCGAACGGGUGAGUAAUACAUCGGAACAUGUCCUGUAGUGGGGGAUAGCCCGGCGAAAGCCGGAUUAAUACCGCAUACGAUCUACGGAUGAAAGCGGGGGACCUUCGGGCCUCGCGCUAUAGGGUUGGCCGAUGGCUGAUUAGAUAGUUGGUGGGGUAAAGGCCUACCAAGGCGACGAUCAGUAGCUGGUCUGAGAGGACGGCCAGCCACACUGGGACUGAGACACGGCCCAGACUCCUACGGGAGGCAGCAGUGGGGAAUUUUGGACAAUGGGCGAAAGCCUGAUCCAGCAAUGCCGCGUGUGUGAAGAAGGCCUUCGGGUUGUAAAGCACUUUUGUCCGGAAAGAAAUCCUUGGCCCUAAUACGGUCGGGGGAUGACGGUACCGGAAGAAUAAGCACCGGCUAACUACGUG